GCCUGGAGAGGAGCCUGCGGCAGAUUAGCUGGUUGGUGAGGUAAUGGCUCACCAAGGCUCCGAUCUGUAGCUGGUCUGAGAGGACGGCCAGCCACACUGGCACUGACACACGGGCCAGACUCCUACGGGAGGCAGCAGUGGGGAAUUUUGGGCAAUGGGCGAAAGCCUG
This 169-nucleotide ribosomal RNA is filed under the name uncultured Acidobacteriota bacterium. RNAcentral describes it as "uncultured Acidobacteria bacterium partial 16S ribosomal RNA". It matches the Rfam family "Bacterial small subunit ribosomal RNA", at positions 217 to 385 of the family's 1533-position model. Lineage: Bacteria; Pseudomonadati; Acidobacteriota. The record is from RNAcentral.